GCCAGUGUGGAGUAGUGGUUUGAGCACUGCAUUACAACUCUGGAGACCAGGGUUCAGACCCCUGCUUGGCCA
This is a non-coding RNA of Phrynosoma platyrhinos (Desert horned lizard), 72 nucleotides long. NCBI's taxonomy places the organism in Eukaryota, Metazoa, Chordata, Lepidosauria, Squamata, Phrynosomatidae. The record is from the annotation of a GenBank genome assembly.